GAAAAGUUAGUUAAUAAAUAACAUAAAAUUGUCAAUUUUAAAUUACUAUACCCAUUAGUACCUUUUA
Molecule: transfer RNA, 67 nt
Filed under: Architeuthis dux (giant squid)
Lineage: Eukaryota; Metazoa; Mollusca; Cephalopoda; Oegopsida; Architeuthidae
Description: tRNA-Asp
Source: RNAcentral